GAGAGAAGAGCAGCUGUGGCAAAUUCACGGCUACCGAGCUGCAUACUGCUUUUUCUUUGUUUUAAUGCGACUCUGGCACCUGGCACUGCUUCCACUCCCAACACUGACACACACUGACUAGACAGUCUGUCUAUUCUCACAGGCACACAGCUGUUCAAGGGAGGCACUGCUCUGCUCCAUGCGCAUCGUGAAGUAACAUUGCAUAAUGAGAGGCGGAGCUCAAGGCAGCCACCUGGAGGACGUGGUCACGGAUGCCAGAAGAUUGAAGGGACAGUCUCCUUAAUAUGUGUUCGAAAAAAGCAGUUCUACUCGUCGGCCAGUAACUCCUAUCACAUCUGAUGAUGAUGACGCUGCGGAAGCAGGUCCAUCAAAAGAAGAAUGGAGCAGCAGAAGUGGCACUUCUGUAAGACAUCACCACAAAAAACCUGUUGACGAAAAGAAAGCAAGGUCGUAUGUCCCGGACCAACCACAGCAGGCUACCCCGCCACGAAGAUUAUCGUCCGUAUGUUCUGUCCCCCCACUCAAAAUUUUGGAUACACCUCCAAGAUGUCAUCCACACUCCCCUCAUCUUGAUUCUUCUAGUCCUGGGAACAGCAUCCCUCCGCAACAACAGCAACACAGUGACAUGGAGGCGACAAACAUCUUAGAAAUGCAGCAAUUAAGGCAAGGAAUGAGCCCCCCAGCACCUGUGAGUACACCACCACAGCAAAGCACACCACCACCACAACACAGCCCAACAACACCAGGAACACAAGGCCCUGAUUAGGUGUUUUGGACCAUUUGAGCUAGACAGCAGGCCACUAAUAAAGAUUGCCUGCGUAUACAGACACAAAUGUUUGCAAACCUACCAUCUCACCUCAGAAGAAUAUCAAGAAAUCUGAGUAGACAAAAUUAACAAACAACCAGAAUAGGCAAUACCAUGGAACUCAUGCGUACACACAUUACACAGGUCAUGGCCAACUUACAGUGCAUAAUGGAAGAACAGCACAGACUAAUGGAAGAACAGCACAGACUAAUGGAAGAACAGCACAGACAACUGCAAAGUUAUAUGAACAUUUUUCAAAACAAUCAAAAGAUUAAUGAAAGUUUAUUCAGAAUAGUAGACAAUCAAAAUGCUGCUACACGUGAACUCAAUGCCACCCUCACUGACCUGAAUGAAACACUCAGAUGCAUGCACCAACAGCAAACAAGCAGCAGUUCUGGUACGACUACUCCAAAUAUCACGCCAGUCUCAUCACCACCAAGACGCUCCACCAGAGCACGACAACAUGACAGUGCUAAAGGCAAAGGGCAGGACAAGCAGCCACCAAAAAAAAACGUGAAAAAAAUACAAGUUAGACAUUUGUGAUAAGUAACUCAAAAUAGUUAGUAAGUGUAUGUUUGGCAAAAAAUAUAUAACACUUAGCUCCUUGACAAUUUUAACAACAUCAUUAAUUAUAAGUGCUACAAACAACAACAUAAAAUUUGUACGCACAUUUAUUCUUUACCAUUUUUUUGGUAUUGGAGGAUGGAAAUGUUGAUGGAGCCGCACAUACAUGUUAGCAGGAAGUAAACUGACCACUUGAUUUUUUUCUAAUCAUUACUCUUUCUAGAUUACAAUCAUUCUCUUUUCCUGCAGACCCAAUAAUUGGCAGCCAGGCAGAAUGUCUUUAGCAUGAAGUAAACUGACCACUUGAUUUUUUUCUAAUCAUUACUCUUUCUAGAUUCCAAUCAUUCUCUUUUCCUGCAGACCCAAUAAUUGGCAGCCAGGCAGAAUAUCUUUAGCAGGAAGUAAACUGACCACUUGAUUUUUUUCUAAUCAUUUCUCUUUCUAGAUUCCAAUCAUUCUCUUUUCCUGCAGACAAUCCAAAUUACAAUGUUAUUGAUACAUAUUUUACCUUUCUUCUCUAUACAACAUUACAAGAAGAACACAAUUGAGUUGCGUAAAAAGCUUUUAAUAUGUUGUCUUUGAUUCUUAAAAAAACAUUGACCAAAUGAAUGUCAGUAUUGUUGGGACAUAUUUGUGUGUGAUAAAAAUUAGUAAGAAUGUUAUUACACAUGAUGCUGAAAAAAACAAAUAUGUACUUUUUAAAGAAAAAACAAAGAAUGUGUAUAAAAAUGUAUAUAUGUGGCAAACUUUGUAUUUACUUACACAUCAUCAAGUUUACUGCAUCAAACA
Molecule: long non-coding RNA, 2158 nt
Organism: Pseudophryne corroboree (corroboree frog)
Lineage: Eukaryota; Metazoa; Chordata; Amphibia; Anura; Myobatrachidae
Exons: 4
Source: RefSeq, a predicted model, not a curated record